AACGAACGCUGGCGGCAUGCCUAACACAUGCAAGUCGAACGAGACCUUCGGGUCUAGUGGCGCAAGGGUGCGUAACGCGUGGGAACCUGCCCUUAGGUUCGGAAUAACUCCCCGAAAGGGGUGCUAAUACCGGAUAAUGUCUUCGGACCAAAGAUUUAUCGCCUUUGGAUGGGCCCGCGUUGGAUUAGCUAGUUGGUAGGGUAAAAGCCUACCAAGGCGACGAUCCAUAGCUGGUCUGAGAGGAUGAUCAGCCACACUGGGACUGAGACACGGCCCAGACUCCUACGGGAGGCAGCAGUGGGGAAUAUUGGACAAUGGGCGAAAGCCUGAUCCAGCAAUGCCGCGUGAGUGAUGAAGGCCUUAGGGUUGUAAAGCUCUUUUAACCGGGAUGAUAAUGACAGUACCGGGAGAAUAAGCUCCGGCUAACUCCGUG
RNAcentral lists this ribosomal RNA (433 nucleotides) under uncultured bacterium. RNAcentral's name for it is "partial 16S ribosomal RNA". It matches the Rfam family "Bacterial small subunit ribosomal RNA", at positions 29 to 507 of the family's 1533-position model. The record is from RNAcentral.